This 505-nucleotide ribosomal RNA is filed under the name uncultured bacterium. RNAcentral describes it as "bacterial SSU rRNA". It matches the Rfam family "Bacterial small subunit ribosomal RNA", at positions 791 to 1301 of the family's 1533-position model. The record is from RNAcentral.
UAGUCCACGCCGUAAACGAUGGUUACUAGCUGUUCGGACUUCGGUUUGAGUGGCUAAGCGAAGGUGAUAAGUAACCCACCUGGGGAGUACGUUCGCAAGAAUGAAACUCAAAGGAAUUGACGGGGGCCCGCACAAGCGGUGGAGCAUGUGGUUUAAUUCGAUGAUACGCGAGGAACCUUACCAGGGCUUAAAUGUAGAUUGACAGGUUUAGAGAUAGACUUUUCUUCGGACAAUUUACAAGGUGCUGCAUGGUUGUCGUCAGCUCGUGCCGUGAGGUGUCAGGUUAAGUCCUAUAACGAGCGCAACCCCUGUUGUUAGUUGCCAGCGAGUCAAGUCGGGAACUCUAACAAGACUGCCAGUGCAAACUGCGAGGAAGGUGGGGAUGACGUCAAGUCAGCAUGCCCCUUACGCUCUGGGCUACACACGUGCUACAAUGGUCGUGACAAAGAGUUGCUAGUCUGCGAAGGCAAGCCAAUCUCAUAAACGCGGCCUUAGUUCGGAUUGC